Molecule: long non-coding RNA, 430 nt
Organism: Pezoporus flaviventris
Lineage: Eukaryota; Metazoa; Chordata; Aves; Psittaciformes; Psittacidae
Exons: 3
Source: RefSeq, a predicted model, not a curated record
AGAUGCAGCAGCUUCUCCCUUGUCUCGGGACUCUCGGCGCCAGGGUAGGAUCAGACGCUUUCUGAGGAAACACCUGGGCAAGGCUGUGGCUGUCAUCCAGGAAACAAGGCAGCAGCAGGUGGAAGAGCCAGACGUGGCACAAAGCUUGCAUGUGGAAUUACCAUCAAUGUCGCCUGCUGUAGUUCAGGACAGCGAGAACCAGCCAGGCAUUGCCACUCUUCCAGACCCAGGAGCGGCCCCACGGCGACGACUGAACCGCUUCAGGAGAGUGCUGAGGUCUCUGCGCAAGGCUUUCCGUUUCUCCUGCCUCACCCCACGUGUGGAGGAGUAGCGCUCUGCUGCCAGCGCCAGGCCCAAGGGAGCUGCGCUGAGGAUGUCAUGCUGCAGCCUACACUUGUUGUGGGUGCUUUCUUGGGCCAAUAAAUAAUAA